GACGAACGCUGGCGGCGUGCUUAACACAUGCAAGUCGAACGGAAAGGCCCUGCUUUUGUGGGGUGCUCGAGUGGCGAACGGGUGAGUAACACGUGAGUAACCUGCCCUUGACUUUGGGAUAACUUCAGGAAACUGGGGCUAAUACCGGAUAGGAGCUCCUGCUGCAUGGUGGGGGUUGGAAAGUUUCGGCGGUUGGGGAUGGACUCGCGGCUGAUCAGCUUGUUGGUGGGGUAGUGGCUUACCAAGGCUUUGACGGGUAGCCGGCCUGAGAGGGUGACCGGCCACAUUGGUACUGAGAGACGGCCCAGACUCCUACGGGAGGCAGCAGUGGGGAAUAUUGCACAGUGGGCGGAAGCCUGAUGCAGCAACGCUGCGUGCGGGAUGACGGCCUUCGGGUUGUAAACCGCUUUCGCCUGUGACGAAGCGUGAGUGACGGUAAUGGGUAAAGAAGCACCGGCUAACUACGUG
Molecule: ribosomal RNA, 468 nt
Filed under: uncultured bacterium
Lineage: Bacteria
Description: partial 16S ribosomal RNA
Rfam family: Bacterial small subunit ribosomal RNA
Source: RNAcentral